AAUGCUAGGGGUGUUGUUUAGACUGAGAGACUUUUUAAGUUAACCCUUUGAACCUGAAUUGGUUAAUACCAACGGAGGAAAGCUAUUCU
Molecule: non-coding RNA, 89 nt
Filed under: fish gut metagenome
Description: TPP riboswitch (THI element)
Rfam family: TPP riboswitch aptamer (THI element) (bases 4-83)
About the family: Vitamin B(1) in its active form thiamin pyrophosphate (TPP) is an essential coenzyme that is synthesised by coupling of pyrimidine and thiazole moieties in bacteria.
Source: RNAcentral